CGGAGCGGCCGAGGCGGUCGCCGGCGUUCUCUGGUAACGCGGGAGGAAAGUCCGAGCUUCACAGGGCAGGGUGCUGGCUAACGGCCAGUCGGGGUGACCCGAAGGAAAGUGCCACAGAAAGCAGACCGCCCGCGGUUCCUCCGGGACCGCGGGUAAGGGUGAAAGGGUGCGGUAAGAGCGCACCGCUCCUCCGGUGACGGAGGGGGCACGGCAAACCCCACCCGAAGCAAGACCAGAUAGGGAUCGCGUGGCCCGCGCAAUGAUCCCGGGUUGGUCGCUCGAGCCCGCCGGCAACGACGGGCCUAGAGGAAUGGCCGCCACCGGCGGAGGGCAACCGAAGCCGGUACAGAACUCGGCUUAUCGGCCGCUCCGACGA
RNAcentral lists this RNase P RNA (376 nucleotides) under Deltaproteobacteria bacterium. Its description in RNAcentral is "RNase P RNA component class A". It matches the Rfam family "Bacterial RNase P class A". From Rfam's summary of the family: Ribonuclease P (RNase P) is a ubiquitous endoribonuclease, found in archaea, bacteria and eukarya as well as chloroplasts and mitochondria. Its best characterised activity is the generation of mature 5'-ends of tRNAs by cleaving the 5'-leader elements of precursor-tRNAs. Lineage: Bacteria; Pseudomonadati; Myxococcota; Myxococcia. The record is from RNAcentral.